GGCCCCUUAGUCAAGCGGCUAAGACGCCGCCCUUUCACGGCGGAGGCAGGAGUUCGAUUCUCCUAGGGGUCACCA
Molecule: transfer RNA, 75 nt
Filed under: Methanobrevibacter sp.
Lineage: Archaea; Methanobacteriati; Methanobacteriota; Methanobacteria; Methanobacteriales; Methanobacteriaceae
Description: tRNA-Glu
Rfam family: tRNA
About the family: Transfer RNA (tRNA) molecules are approximately 80 nucleotides in length.
Source: RNAcentral